Molecule: unclassified non-coding RNA, 295 nt
Filed under: uncultured fungus
Lineage: Eukaryota; Fungi
Description: sequence contains ITS1
Source: RNAcentral
GUAACGAUUACGUUGUUUCUGACGCUGAUUGCAAUUACAAGAGGUUUAAAGGGGGGUCCUACUGGCAGGCAAGCCUGCCGAGGAAACAAUGGGUGCGCAAAAAGCAAGGGUAGGGUCAGACAGGCAGCUCGAUCAGCUUACUAGCCAAGGCAGAACCAUAAAUGGAAACUACCUUCCGUUCAGCUGCCAGCCAGCAGAACCGUACAUCUACUGACUGUCCUAUUGGAGAGCGUGCCCCCGUGGGUCUAAGUUUUUUUGAAUGGUAAUGAUCCUUCCGCAGGUUCACCUACGGAAA